RNAcentral lists this ribosomal RNA (323 nucleotides) under uncultured Chloroflexota bacterium. Its description in RNAcentral is "bacterial SSU rRNA". It matches the Rfam family "Bacterial small subunit ribosomal RNA", at positions 28 to 351 of the family's 1533-position model. The record is from RNAcentral. Lineage: Bacteria; Bacillati; Chloroflexota.
GAUGAACGCUGGCGGCGUGCUUAAUACAUGCAAGUCGAACGGAGGUAUGUAGCAAUACGUAUCUUAGUGGCGAACGGGUGAGUAACGCGUUGGUGACCUACCCCAGAGAGGGGGAUAACAGUUCGAAAGGACUGCUAAUACCCCAUGUGGUCAUGGUAGUUAGAGAGCCAUGACUAAAGGUGCAAACCGCUCUGGGAGGGGCCUGCGUCCCAUCAGCUAGUUGGUAGGGUAACGGCCUACCAAGGCGACGACGGGUAGGGGGCCUGAGAGGGUGAUCCCCCACACUGGCACUGAAACACGGGCCAGACACCUACGGGUGGCUG